UACGGGGGAGCAAGCGUUGUUCGGAUUUACUGGGCGUAAAGGGCGCGUAGGCGGCCAGCACAAGUCAGUUGUGAAAUCUCCGAGCUUAACUCGGAAAGGUCAACUGAUACUGUGCGGCUAGAGUGCGGAAGGGGCAACUGGAAUUCUUGGUGUAGCGGUGAAAUGCGUAGAUAUCAAGAGGAACACCUGCGGCGAAGGCGGGUUGCUGGGCCGACACUGACGCUGAUGCGCGAAAGCGUGGGGAGCAAACAGG
Molecule: ribosomal RNA, 253 nt
Filed under: uncultured bacterium
Lineage: Bacteria
Description: partial 16S ribosomal RNA
Rfam family: Bacterial small subunit ribosomal RNA
Source: RNAcentral